Non-coding RNA from Drosophila melanogaster (fruit fly), 1171 nucleotides. Lineage: Eukaryota; Metazoa; Arthropoda; Insecta; Diptera; Drosophilidae. The record is from Ensembl.
AAGUUCUGAACGGCGAUUUCGGGGGUUUGAGGGGUCAAUUGUCCCCUGUGUUGGAAUGUGUUCCUAAAUCUACACAAACACUCCCUAAGCUUAUCCUAAACUUAUAAAUAUUGGUUGCUAUUUAAACCCCAUUUCACGGUUAUCCAGCACGCCCCUGAACUGUGACCCACAUCCCCGAUUUUAGUGACUAGUUUUAUACUUAUCGUGGUUGGCAUUUGGUACACUACACUUUCUUAUUCACCUAGAUCGCCGACUCCGCGCACGGUCGCGCUCCCGUUCCCGCUCCCGAUCUCGGCUGCGACUGCGGUCGCGAUCCCGUUCCCGGUCGCGGCGACCGGCGCCUCCAGAUCCGGAUCCUCCGGCUGGCGCUACUCCGAUGGCCUCCCGCUCCCGGGAACGGCGCUCCCUGCGCUUCUUCCGCUCGGAUCGCUCCUUCUCGCGUCUCCUGUGCGCCGGCGAGGCGGGACUUCGGCUGCGGCCCAUGGCUCCGUUUCGGUCUCUGCUUGUGUGGCGGUUUGAGUGAUUGAUGAUGGUUUGCCUGCAGUGGAUUUGAGCGGAUGUUAGACUCCAUGUACUCCAAUUGCACCGCACGCAUCCCGCUUACCGUUGCACUAGGCUGUGUCUAGCAUUAUUUGGGCGACACCGGCGGUGGGUAAAAACGCGCUAACUUAAAACUAAAACCAAAUAAACAACGCGCGUUAUCUCGCCGCGACGCCGAAACGGAAUGAGGAAUGCAGAAUGCGGAUGAUGAUGCGAGGGAUGCGAUGCAAGGGCAAAACAUGGCCACCUAUCGGAUAUCGAUUGAUGGUCGAUUUUAUCUUCGAUAAAAAUGUAUCCUAUGUAUAUCGCAUACCGAAUGUUUAAAUCGAUCUGUUUCCUUUUGAAUAUGAACUAUGUAUAUAUAUUAAUUAAUAUUUUUUAAUAGCAUUACCUAUAUUAUAUUUCAAAUUAUGCCCGGACUAUGAUAAAUUUAACAAAUUCAUAAUUACAAAUCUUUCGUCAAUACCACUUCCAUAAAUAGUUUAAAAUAUCAAAAUAUUACGAACUUUGCCAAUAUAAACGUUAUAUUUUCUACAUUUACACAGUUUCUUCUUUUUUUUUUUGAAGCUAUUAAACCACAUAUUUGCUCACGAUCGCAGCUGAAAUGAACUACUAUGUUGGAUCUUCUAGU